This 253-nucleotide ribosomal RNA is filed under the name uncultured bacterium. RNAcentral describes it as "partial 16S ribosomal RNA". It matches the Rfam family "Bacterial small subunit ribosomal RNA", at positions 524 to 776 of the family's 1533-position model. The record is from RNAcentral.
UACGUAGGGGGCUAGCGUUGUUCGGAAUUACUGGGCGUAAAGCGCACGUAGGCGGAUUGGAAAGUUGGGGGUGAAAUCCCGGGGCUCAACCCCGGAACUGCCUUCAAGACUCCCAGUCUGGAGGUCGAGAGAGGUGAGUGGAAUUCCGAGUGUAGAGGUGAAAUUCGUAGAUAUUCGGAGGAACACCAGUGGCGAAGGCGGCUCACUGGCUCGAUACUGACGCUGAGACGCGAAAGCGUGGGGAGCAAACAGG